RNAcentral lists this long non-coding RNA (392 nucleotides) under Amborella trichopoda. Its description in RNAcentral is "long non-coding RNA (ATRI_LNC003806)". The record is from RNAcentral. Lineage: Eukaryota; Viridiplantae; Streptophyta; Magnoliopsida; Amborellales; Amborellaceae.
UUUCAUCAAGCAAAAGCAGCAAGGGUUUAGGAAGAGAGAAACAGGUUCAAACUCUCUAUCCUUUUCAAUACUCAACGGUGAUGAGAAAGAGAGGAAUUAGAGAUAGAAAAGCCAAAUAAGCUCAGAAAAUGACAGAAGAAACGGAGAAUUUUAGAGGCAAUUUCAGAUCCGAGAAGGGUUUUUGAGAUUUUAGAGAUUAAAUGAGAUUCAGAGUCGGUUCAUAUCCAGAUGCAAUUUCAGAGGGAAUUUCUCAAAGGCCCGUUGGUUUCAGAGGAAAGGCAGUGAUCUUAGCGAUUCUUCAAAGGCCGUGGUCGUUUUCUAGAGGACCGAAAAGUAAAUAUUUCAUAUCUAACAGUUUUUGGGGUAAUUUUAGAAUUUUUUAUGAAUUUUCA